Molecule: ribosomal RNA, 858 nt
Filed under: uncultured bacterium
Lineage: Bacteria
Description: SSU rRNA
Rfam family: Bacterial small subunit ribosomal RNA
Source: RNAcentral
UACGUAGGGUGCAAGCGUUGUCCGGAAUUAUUGGGCGUAAAGAGCUCGUAGGCGGUUUGUCGCGUCUGCUGUGAAAACCCGAGGCUCAACCUCGGGCCUGCAGUGGGUACGGGCAAACUAGAGUGUGGUAGGGGAGAUUGGAACUCCUGGUGUAGCGGUGGAAUGCGCAGAUAUCAGGAAGAACACCAAUGGCGAAGGCAGAUCUCUGGGCCAUUACUGACGCUGAGGAGCGAAAGCGUGGGGAGCGAACAGGAUUAGAUACCCUGGUAGUCCACGCCGUAAACGUUGGGAACUAGAUGUAGGGGCCUAUCUACGGCUUCUGUGUCGCAGCUAACGCAUUAAGUUCCCCGCCUGGGGAGUACGGCCGCAAGGCUAAAACUCAAAGGAAUUGACGGGGGCCCGCACAAGCGGCGGAGCAUGCGGAUUAAUUCGAUGCAACGCGAAGAACCUUACCAAGGCUUGACAUAUACCGGAAAAGCGUAGAAAUACGCUCCCCGCAAGGUCGGUAUACAGGUGGUGCAUGGUUGUCGUCAGCUCGUGUCGUGAGAUGUUGGGUUAAGUCCCGCAACGAGCGCAACCCUCGUUCUAUGUUGCCAGCACGUAAUGGUGGGAACUCAUGGAAGACUGCCGGGGUCAACUCGGAGGAAGGUGGGGAUGACGUCAAAUCAUCAUGCCCCUUAUGUCUUGGGCUUCACGCAUGCUACAAUGGCCGGUACAGAGGGCUGCAAUACCGUAAGGUGGAGCGAAUCCCAAAAAGCCGGUCUCAGUUCGGAUUGAGGUCUGCAACUCGACCUCAUGAAGUCGGAGUCGCUAGUAAUCGCAGAUCAGCAACGCUGCGGUGAAUACGUUCCCGGGCCU